Molecule: long non-coding RNA, 143 nt
Organism: Myotis brandtii (Brandt's bat)
Lineage: Eukaryota; Metazoa; Chordata; Mammalia; Chiroptera; Vespertilionidae
Exons: 3
Source: RefSeq, a predicted model, not a curated record
GAAAUCUGGACAGAAUAGAGACCUUUUAGCCAAAAUGGGGGCAGAAAUCACUUUUGCUCCAGAUGGCUCAGCACAGCUUCGCCUAGGUGAGGAGACCUCCCCAAUGAUCCUGUCCUUAGCAGUGCCAAGAGAGGAAGAAUGGA